GCACUGCUGAGGAGUCCCACAAAAGGACUAAACGACCGUCUAGUGC
Molecule: non-coding RNA, 46 nt
Filed under: Schistosoma mansoni
Lineage: Eukaryota; Metazoa; Platyhelminthes; Trematoda; Strigeidida; Schistosomatidae
Source: RNAcentral